This is a long non-coding RNA of Spinacia oleracea (spinach), 1326 nucleotides long. RefSeq lists it as uncharacterized. Lineage: Eukaryota; Viridiplantae; Streptophyta; Magnoliopsida; Caryophyllales; Amaranthaceae. The transcript is spliced from 3 exons. The record is from RefSeq and is a predicted model, not a curated record.
AAUUUCUCUUUCAAGCCCAUUUAUUAUCCAAAAAUCUGAUUCAUAUAUAAUAUAUUUCUUUUCUAAGUCCAUAUAUUACCAUUAUUUAAUUGAAAGAUCAAAGACCCAUUUUGCUUCUUCUUCCUUCACCAUAAGUGUAAAUGGAUGGUUUGGUCACCAAGCUUUUGACUCCCCUUUGUUUCCAACUUCAGUCCAAGUUCAUGACUUUGCAUACCUCAAUUUUCUUCUUCCUUCUUCUCCCGUACGUGUAAGUUGAGGCAUUUUUGAGAGUGACAAAUGUUCAAGAAUUUCUCCUCUUUCAUGACUCAUCAAGUCUCAUAAACUCUAUAAAUAGCCAUUAAAAUUUAUGUCAUCUCCAAUCUUACAAAUCCAACUCAAAUUUGAGUAAUUAAAUGAAAAACACCAUUGUUAAAGCUUGGAGCUUUUUACCCCAUUAAUUUUGACUACCCAUUUUCUCUCUCCUCCUUUGACCACCGCGGCUCCAUCGCAGCCACCACCUGUUUCCCGGCGACUUUCCCUUCGCCGCCCAGAUCUCAGCCCCGACGUCACUUCUUGUUCGCUGCCGGAGCCCACUGUGACCCAUGUGGCUGCGGGAGUGGUUGUUGCGUGACCCCCUUUAUCUGCUAUACUCUUGUUUGGUUGUUCCUAUAAUUUUCCUCCUUGUUCUACUGACUAUUUGUAAUUGAGUGAUGAGUUGGCCAUAGUCAAACAAAUACUUAAUGGGCUUUAAUUAGUUGGAGAAUAAGACAAAAAGCUAGGUUGGUGGAUUAAAGAAGUUGAUGGCAAAGACCAACAUUUUUAUGGAAGCUACGUUAUUAAAUGAAGACUCAUUAUGGAGGAUUAUUAUUAAUUUCGAGCUUAUGGAUUUCAGAUUAAGGAUAAACGAUCAAGGUUCGAUUAAGGAGCUCAAGUUGCUCAAGUCAAAGUUAUUACUGGAGUUGGUAGUUUAUUAUGUGGAUAUCGAGAUGAGAAUUAUUUAUUAAGGGAAUCCUGUUAUUGAGGUUGUUAUAAGAAUAUUGAUUUAUAUUUAUAUUUGGGAAAGUUUGUAUUAUUUAAGAUAUGUUAUUUGAGGAUGAUUUUAUUUGUGGGCCCAUAACCCACAGGUCCCAGGAUUAUUUUAUGCCUAUUUUCGCUGCUAAUGAUUAGCUAAGUGCGGUUUAUUACCGUUAAUUAAGGUGCCGAAAAGUCGGGGCGUUACAUAAACUCUCGAUUAGGUCUACAUUCCUUUAAGGUUAAAACAACUUGAUUAGAAUUAAUAAGGAUUGAAAUUGGUAGAUUAUUGGAAGCCAUGAUUAAUUGCUGAAAAUAUUUAUGUGAUGCAUAAUA